This 543-nucleotide ribosomal RNA is filed under the name uncultured archaeon. RNAcentral describes it as "bacterial SSU rRNA". It matches the Rfam family "Archaeal small subunit ribosomal RNA", at positions 334 to 879 of the family's 1478-position model. The record is from RNAcentral.
AGCAGGCGCGAAAACUUUGCAAUAAGCGAAAGCUUGACAGGGCUAUCCCGAGUGCCAUCCGCUGAGGAAGGCUUUUACCCAGUCUAGAACGCUGGGGGAAUAAGGAGAGGGCAAGUCUGGUGUCAGCCGCCGCGGUAAUACCAGCUCUCCGAGUGGUGUGGAUGUUUAUUGGGCCUAAAGCAUCCGUAGCUGGCUAAGUUAGUCCCUUGUUAAAUCCACCGAAUUAAUCGUUGGAUUGCGGGGGAUACUGCUUGGCUAGGGGACGAGAGAGGCAGACGGUAUUUCCGGGGUAGGGGUGAAAUCCUAUAAUCCCGGGAAGACCACCAGUGGCGAAGGCUGUCUGCUAGAACGCGCCCGACGGUGAGGGAUGAAAGCUGGGGGAGCGAACCGGAUUAGAUACCCGGGUAGUCCCAGCUGUAAACGAUGCAGGCUAGGUGUUUGGACGGCCACGUGCCGUUCUAGUGCCGCAGGGAAGCUGUUAAGCCUGCCGCCUGGGGAGUACGAUCGCAAGAUUGAAACUUAAAGGAAUUGGCGGGGGAGCAC